RNAcentral lists this ribosomal RNA (564 nucleotides) under uncultured Glomeromycotina. RNAcentral's name for it is "SSU rRNA". It matches the Rfam family "Eukaryotic small subunit ribosomal RNA", at positions 548 to 1114 of the family's 1831-position model. Lineage: Eukaryota; Fungi; Glomeromycota. The record is from RNAcentral.
UUGGAGGGCAAGUCUGGUGCCAGCAGCCGCGGUAAUUCCAGCUCCAAUAGCGUAUAUUAAAGUUGUUGCAGUUAAAAAGCUCGUAGUUGAAUUUCGGGAUCAAGGAAUCGGUCAUGCCUCGGUAUGUACUGGUUUUAUUGGUUCUCACCUUCUAAAGAACCAUAAUGUCAUUUAUUUGGUGUUAUGGGGAAUUAGGACUGUUACCUUGAAAAAAUUAGAGUGUUUAAAGCAAGCUCACGCUUGAAUACAUUAGCAUGGAAUAAUGAAAUAAGACAUCCGAUUCUAUUUUGUUGGUUUCUAGGAUCGAUGUAAUGAUUAAUAGGGAUAGUUGGGGGCAUUAGUAUUCAAUUGUCAGAGGUGAAAUUCUUGGAUUUAUUGAAGACUAACUACUGCGAAAGCAUUUGCCAAGGAUGUUUUCAUUAAUCAAGAACGAAAGUUAGGGGAUCGAAGACGAUCAGAUACCGUCGUAGUCUUAACCAUAAACUAUGCCGACUAGGGAUCGGAUGAUGUUUAUUUUUUAGUGACUCAUUCGGCACCUUACGGGAAACCAAAGUGUUUGGGUUC